Molecule: ribosomal RNA, 468 nt
Filed under: uncultured bacterium
Lineage: Bacteria
Description: partial 16S ribosomal RNA
Rfam family: Bacterial small subunit ribosomal RNA
Source: RNAcentral
GACGAACGCUGGCGGCGUGCUUAACACAUGCAAGUCGAACGGAAAGGCCCUGCUUUUGUGGGGUGCUCGAGUGGCGAACGGGUGAGUAACACGUGAGUAACCUGCCCUUGACUUUGGGAUAACUUCAGGAAACUGGGGCUAAUACCGGAUAGGAGCUCCUGCUGCAUGGUGGGGGUUGGAAAGUUUCGGCGGUUGGGGAUGGACUCGCGGCUUAUCAGCUUGUUGGUGGGGUAGUGGCUUACCAAGGCUUUGGCGGGUAGCCGGCCUGAGAGGAUGACCGGCCACAUUGGGACUGAGAUACGGCCCAGACUCCUACGGGAGGCAGCAGUGGGGAAUAUUGCACAAUGGGCGGAAGCCUGAUGCAGCAACGCCGCGUGCGGGAUGACGGCCUUCGGGUUGUAAACCGCUUUCGCCUGUGACGAAGCGUGAGUGACGGUAAUGGGUAAAGAAGCACCGGCUAACUACGUG